Long non-coding RNA from Gallus gallus (chicken), 16564 nucleotides. The record is from Ensembl. Lineage: Eukaryota; Metazoa; Chordata; Aves; Galliformes; Phasianidae.
GUCCAGUGCCAGACAGCUUCCCAUACAGCAAAUUUCCCAUCAAGCACUGAAAGCAUGUUUUUUCUACAUCUGGAAACUGUCCUGCUCCUCACUGGUGUUUGAGUGUUGUUCUGAUAUCCUGCUGAAAAGCCUCCAACCAAAAUCAGCCAACACAAAUUAAUAAAUUACCACCAGUCAGCAGGGGCAGAGUAACUGGACGGUGUGUGUUCUUGUCCUGAUGCACCCUACACCUCAACUGAUUAGCUGUAACUCCAUAAUUAAUGUCGAGUGUCCACCUGUGUCUGCUCUCCUCACUGGUACUGCAUUCCCCAUCUCAGAGCCAAAGAAACUCAAGAGGUCCUCCAAUGAGCAAACACAUUACAUAAGCAUGAGGUGAGACUGGAGACUCUGAGAGGUAGGGAUGUUGAAAGAGCACUGAUUUAUGAGAACUGGAGCAAAGUGGUAACUGAAGCAAUAGCUCCUUUUCCAUGAUGCUGCCCUGUGUUUUGUAACCUACCUCAUGGCCACUGGAUGAUUAGGACCUUUCCUGAGUGCACGAUUUCCCUUACCCUCAGUGUUUAUGAUGGCUGGUUUCAAUUAUUCCUUUCCUUCACACUCUGUAUUUCAACCUGCCUCAGAUGAGCAAUUCAUCUACUCUAUCAAAUAACUUACCAAGAUAGAUUUCACAUGCAAGGCAAAUACAUUUUCCUUCCCCUCAUAAUUCCACAACACUGUUUUUUAGAAUUCUGUUUCUCUUGCCUGAUUCCCAGCAAACCCUUACCCAGAGUAGAGCUUUCUAAUGUGCAGAUUGGAUAUAAAAUGCCAUCAGAUAACAGUGACAUUUCCACCUACUCUGUCCUGACCCUUGUGCCACAACUUUUCCCCCAUGUUACCUGAGCUGAUAUAAAGAGUGAGGUCAGAAAACGUUGCACAGGGCUGAAACAAGACCCCACCAUGGAUUGUCAUGUCCAUGUACAUGACUGAAGUAACUGGUGCCUAUGCAGAUUUGUAUGUAGUGGUGUUCUACGUAUGCAUGUGCACAGCAUGCAUGGCCAUGACGAAUGGUGCCAUGAUGCAUGUGAAAAAGCCCAUUUUUUACACAUGUAUUCAUGCUUUGUGAACUUCUGAUAUCAAUUCAUUUAAGAAUGGAGAGAAAAUUAAGAGAUUUGGUGCAUGUAGUUGCUCAUUCUUAAUACUCUUCUGAUCUUAGCAUAGAUGGGACCUGCACAGAUGAGUGAUGAGCGCUUGGAGGGUGAUUCCGUGGUAGAAGCAUCGUGUGGGUCCCAAGUUGGGUAUGGACACUGCUAUGGCACCCAAGUGAACGGAGCCCUGUGUCAGCAAAAAGCGUGAUGAAUAUCCAGGUGAGCUCAACAAGCACUCAGCAGAAUUCAUCUGCAGCUCAUUGAGGCAACACAGAGAGAGUUCAUGGGGAGUUUAUCAUGGGAACUGCUGAGGGUUAAUGGCCAGCAGAACAGAUUGAGCUGUGGGAUUACUAAAUAAUGAACUUUUCUCUCCAAUAAAUUUGUCCCUGACUUAUAAAAAAUCAAUAACAUACUACAUUUCGGGCUUUUUUUUUCCUUUUCCUUUUGGUGACGGUGGGGAAUGUGGGCUCAGAGUAAUUUUUAAACUACUCUUUCAUAUAUAUGUAUAAAUAUAUUUUACUCUGAUCAUUUAUACAAAAGCUCAGAUGUGCCACAUUUACUGCAGCUUCAUCACCUAGAUAGAUUUUUAUGUGGGUGCCCGGCUAUUGCUUUGUUUAAUCAUUCUUUUCUCUUCCCUCCCCAGUCCCUUGCCUCCCCCUUCCCUUCCAUGCUUUUUAUGACACUAUCGCCAGCGCAGAUAUGCAGGAGGGUUUUCAUGUGAUAUAGGAUGUCGGAGAGGUCAGGUCAGCUGGGACAGAGCCAAAAAUAUUAGCACUUUCUAACUGCUGAGGAGAGAAAUUGAAAUAAUAGCACUUAUAAAUUGGCAGGUUUUCAACUGCAGGAGAAGAGAGGGAUUUUUUGCGUGUGUUUAUUUUGUUUCAGAAGUGGAGAGGAGGCGGAUCCGGUUCUUGGCCACAGAAGAGAUGUUCACUGUGCUUUGGGCUCGUGUUUGUGUUAAAUUUGGCCAGGAAGUGGUUGGUGGGCUGGUAUCUGUUCUCAGACACGCAUUUCCUGUUUUUAACCCAAUCUUUCUUCCCUCCAUCUCUGUAUGGAAAUAGAAUUAUAGAAUCAUUAAUGUUCGAAGAGACCAUUAGGAUCAUCAAGCCCAACCACAGGUCCCUCAGAUGACUGCAUAUAGCAAGUCUCCCCAAAAUACAGGAGGGACACCCAGUCCAGCUUUUCAGGGAUCUCCUGGGCUCUCUGCUUCAACAGUGAAUCACCAAGCCUUGGUGAAACCAUGGCUCUUUCAGUCACACCGUCACUGUUAGACAGCAUCAGCAAUGGAAAUCACCUCCUCUCACCAAAGCCCAAAGUGCUUUGCAGGAUCUGCCUUCCAAAACCUGCUCUCAUCUGGUCUCCGAUGCUUCACCUCAACCCAGGCACAGCUGUUACGUGUGCCAACCUGGGGAAAUCAGAAGCCAUGCAGCAAUAACUGUUAAUUGACCGAGAGCCACCUCUGCGAUGCCAACAGGAACAAAAGAACAAGCAUCUGGCUUUGCCAUCUGUGCCUGUUUAAAUGCAGCAAAAAGAAACCCUUCUCCAGAUCUCCCAGCUGGGUGGAGAGGUAACUGGAUUCAGCAGCAACGUGGAGUUGCAGGUUGGCUGGGUCUGUGGCUCCUAGUCACUCUGACAUGUGAAACCCUUUGCACGAGACAUGUUGACCUUCCCAGCCCUGGCUUUGUAGAUGAGAGCAAUGAUGGGCUCUGAUGGACGCAACUGAGCAGCCUGGAGUUAUUUCUAGUCAUGGUUGCAGUUCACUGUGAAUAAAAGUCCAGGUGUUCAGAAAUCACUCAGUGCUCAAAGUACUUGCAAGAGCUUUGAUGCACCCUUUACCUCUUUCCAUCUCACUAGGCAUGGCUAGGAGAGCUCUUCAAUGGAUCACAUGUCCUGGAAAAGGACACCUGUCUUGUGCCCCACACAUCCCAGAGGUCAUAAGGAAGGGAUCACUGGUGUUCAGACAACCUCCUCCACCAAAGUCUGCAAAACAAAUUAAAAGCAUAUCAAAUCUUCUGUUUUCCAAGGAGCUUCACAUGAUAAAAGCUGAGUCAGAGGUCUCUGGUGUGCUGGGAUCCUGAAACUUCUAGGAAGGUCAGUGUCAAAAUGCAGUACUUUCCCUUCUAGUCAGAGCACCGUUAAGCUAAAUUAUGGAAUCAUAGAAUCAUGGAAUCAGAAAAUCCUGACUUGUAAGGGACCCAUAAGGAUCAUCGAAUCCAACUCCUGGCUCCAAACUGACCUUUCCAAUGAGAAAAGGAUAGGAUUCAGCAGCUCACUUUUGAAAGACAGUUUAGUCCAAGCUACCUGAUAUUUGCAGUAGAGGAGCCAGUCCUACUGAGAAAACCAAACAAGACCAGAGCUAUGGUCUGACACCAAGUAUAAGGUUUCUCCCUAGCAAGGCUUCAUCCAGCCAGCACUUGAGGUAGCAUACAGCCUCAGCAAGAAUGAGAUCAAAUAAGAGGGUAACACAGGGGCCGUUCCUAAAAGGCAAAAUGGAGAGAGCCAUCCUGAAGGAGGGAGUGAAGAGAAGAGUCUGGCCAGGUGGUCCCAAAGAUGAGAUGAAAAUGCCAGGAACAGCCAACUAUAGAUACAGAAUUAGACAUCCUGUGAGGGAUUAAACAAAGUACGGUUUGCUGGGGAGAAUCCAAAGCCACGAUAGAUUUAUCUAAUGCAUUUCUUGCUCUCUGUAUGGUUCUGGAAGUUCAGAAAUCUUUGGGUUCAAUUAACUCUGCCACAAGCAAGCAGGAAUAAUUUGUAGGGGAUGUAAAGUCUCAAGAAGUUGAAAAGGAAGCACUUAUUUUUUUUACUGUGUGCCGUAUUUGCAAGAGAGUUCCCCAUAAGCAAAGUCUUUGGUAGCCUGAUUCAUAUGGAGAAGACUGGAGGUAUCAACCCUGAGAAAGGACAGAAACAAAAAAUAAUUAUGAGGUUGACUAAUGGUCAGUGAGUAUCAGAGCUUGUCUGUUAUGUCUAUACUGUGUUGGACAUAGGCGAGUAGGCAAGACACACACGUAGUGCAUGCUCUGUCCUGAAGGCUUAGCCAUUAUUAUUUCUCAUUUAUUUGAUUUUCUAUUUACUGUAAAGGUCACUCUACCUGUAUGUAUUGGGUGGUAUUUUGGGGUUUCUUUUGCAUGGGGGGAAAACGUAACUGAGGUCACAUUGGAUAUAAUAUUUCUUAGUGUGUACUCUAUAUUCAUACGCCCAAUGCAUGGUAAAGUAAGGCAGCAUUCUUUAAGAGAUGGAAGAAAAGCUGAUAACAGUUUGUGUUCUCUAUAUAAUUCAGGCACAACUAUCUGUCAACAGAGCAAGGUAAUUAUCCCAAUAAGAUUUCACGAAACGAGGAAAUAUCAUGGAUUUUAUAAACCUUAUUAUCAUUAAGAGUGAAUGCAAAACAACAAAAGGAGCCUUAAAACAAAAUGUUAUGUUGAAAUCAAUACUGAUUCCUUGGGAUAAGUGUUAUGAGGCAGUCAAAUUCUCUAAGAUUUCUCCCCUUACCCCCCCCCCCCCCCCAAAAAAAGAGGCUGCAGACAAACCAAGGGAGAGCAAACAGCUCUAAAGCAGCCUAAUCACUCUGCAAAUUGGGGAACGAGCAAUGCAGUGCUGAUUUUUUUCCAACAUCAGCGCGUUGCUCUAAAAAUGUCCCUCCUCCUUUUGCUCUUGUGCCCCCCCCAGCCAACAAGCCCAAAUAAUAACCCAUUACUGACGGCACCAUAACGGCGCCUUCAGGGAUGGGAUUAGAGUAAGUAUCAAUUUGGAAAUUAGCAGCCUGGUUCAACGAGCAGCGUACCAGCCCUGCAGGCAAAAGGAGAAAUCUGAAAUUUGCACACGUGCUGCCUCACGAAAUGCUGCUUUCAUUACCCCCUUCCCUCUCCCUCCACGCCAUCAUGCAGAUCAGCUGCUCCAUACAGCCUUAUCCGGCACUGCGGCUCAAAGGCAGAGAUGUUUUCCAGAGCAUGCUUGUGUGGGCCUCCAGCUGUCAGCUUUCCUCCAUCCAUCCCAAAAUGAUGCGUCCAUGGGCCACUGAGCAAAUGGGACUCAAUGCUUGUGUUCAGAUUUGUGGCAAGCGUGGGAAUUCUAAGGACACUGCUUAGUCAGCAAUAUUGGUGGCAGGUGGAUGGUUGGAUUGGAUGAUCUUAGAGGGUCUUUUCUAGCCUUAAUAAAUCUAUGAUUCUAUGAAUGGAUUCUGUUUUCCAGAGAGACCUAGACAGAGCAGUGGGUCCAUGAAAACCUCACGCAGUUCAACAAUGCAAGGUCUGCACGUAGGUCAUUGAAACCCCACUACUGAUACAAGCGAGGGGAUGUAAGGAUGGAGCGCAGCCCUGCCAAAAAGGACCUGGGGGUACUGGUGGAUGGCAGAUGGACAUGAGCCACUGCAACAGGUUGCCUAGAGACGUGGUGGGUGCCCAUCUCUGGAGCCGUUCAAGGUCAGGCCGGAUGGGGCUCUGAGCUGUGGGCGUCCCUGUUCAUUGCAGGGGGUUGGACAAGGUGACCUUUAGGGGUCCUUUCAACUCAAACCAUUCUAAUUGAGUGUUUGCAGCUCCCAUCAUCUCAAUGCUAUGUAGAGUAGCCACCCAAAAACAUGUUGCUUCUUCCACCAUAAUAUUGGACAGGACAGUCCUCCCACCACAAGGAGCACCAUGUUUGGGAAUGAAGAUCCUAAAGGACUGUUCUGUCAACCCUUAUAUCUUUGCCUCACCCACCACAGCUCAGGCAAACACCCACAUCUCUGCCCUCUUCACCAAGAUCAGUUUCCGGGCACCAGAACAAUCACUUGAAGCCAAAAUGAACUACCAAGAGUAAACCUAAAAAGUGAGCUCUGAACAAAAAAAUCCCCCCCACAGUUCUGAAAGAAUGACAAGACAUAAAAAAAGAGGUGAAAUUUGAGCCCAUUUCAGCAAACAAGCACAGAGCUUAGACUCUGGCGUGUCAGCUCUUUUCACUUUGCUAUAGAUGCUGAAGUAAAGCAUUUCAUCUUUUCUAAAUUUAUGUAUUAACAUUUUGUUUAAUUUCCAUUUAUUAAUAUUUAUUCAUAUAUAUUUAGAAAUAGAUUUUUAUUUGUAUAUAUUUAAGUAAACAAUACUAAUCUAUUUGUUAUUAAUAUUUCAGGUUUUCACCCCAACAUAGAGUACGAAGCAUCAGGCCUUCCACCAGGACAGACAUCCUAUUUGUAAACACUGCUUUAUUGUAUCUUACUCUCCUCCAUAAUGCUUUUCACUCCAGCAUGGAUGAACCUUCAUGGGAGUUUUUCCAGUGUCACCCUUAAUAAUGAUAUCAUUCUCUUUUUACCAAGACACUUUGCUAGACUGGAAGACAACAGUUUCGUAUCAGUCCCUCAAGACAAGCCAGUAAUCAUCCAACAGACCAUCUCAUCUUCACUGACCAUUCCUGUGAUGGGAGUUGCUCACGUCAGAGGAGCAUUAAAGGUGAGAGGGAACCAGUGUGCAAAGACUGAACUAUGCAUCAGACGUUGGGUGCUGGUAUAGAAUCAUAGAAUCACUGAGGUUGGAAAGACCUCUAAGAUCAUCAAGUCCAACCAUCAACCCAAACCCAUCACCACCAUGCAACUAAACCACGCUAUACAUUGUGAUAUCUUCCCCUUUCUUGAUAACUUCCAAGGAUGGUGACACCACCAUCUCCCUGGGCAGCCUGUUUCAAUGCUUCACCAAAGUACAAGAGGUCCCAACUCUGCUGGAGUAGCUGCAGCCCUUCAGUGCCUCAGCCUUAUGCUCCUGAUUGGCCAUGGGUGUAAUUACUGAACACAACAAACCAAAGAGCUCACUUCUCUGAGUUUUAUUCUCACUCUGGUCAGGUUUCCUGUGGCAGCCUGUAGCUGGAGGUGGCCUAUGCAGAAUUAGCUACUCUAAUGUAGUUCCAACCUCUCACUGUGAAUGCGAGCACACAGCUGAAGAAAGGAUUGCCACAAAGGGUUAGGAAGAAAGGAAAAGGAGAUUAAUGCUCAUCCCCUCGAUCUGAUCCUACUCCCUUUGAAACUUUCAGCAAAGCAGAUUAAGGCUGUAAGCUUCACCAGGCAGGGGGUGUUACUCACCACUGCGUUUUGGAAAGUCAAACAACAACCGAACCCUGAUCCUGACCUCCAUGCCUCGCAGAGAUAAAUUAAUAAUUAAAAAUAAUGCUAACGAUAACAUUAAUGAUGAGGUUUGUGCUGCUAAAUGGGGAGUUUUCUCCAGCAGCAGUAUUUUCCUCUGUGACUGGCAGCUCAUUUGCUGCUAUUGAUGCUCUGAAGCAUGAUGAGGAGUAGCUGGGUGAGUAUUUCUCUAACCAAGCACUUUGGGUCAAAUGCAGAGUGAUCUCAUGCAGUAUCUCACAUGGCUGGCCUGAAAUGUCAAGCCCUGCACUUGGAGCGAGGGGCGAGCAGGUCAGGUCAUGUCUGGUUGUAAAAGGAUUGUUUGUGCCACACUCCAUCCAUGGCCUUGUGUUGGGAGGACCCAAACAAUCCUUCCCUUCAUUCUCCAGCAGAAUGGUAUUUUCGGGAAGACAAGGGGCUGGCAUUAACUUCCUUGCAUCUGAUGAUGUUUUUUUUCCUAAUAUGUUUCUUUUGAAACUCACCCUAUUCCAUAGCUGCAAGUCCAGACCCAUAUCUGCACCGAAGGAACAGAAGAAUCCUUAGGUCUUCCCUUUGCCUGUGUCAGUUUUGCAAUUCAGCUCCAUCAGGACAGCCACAUGAGUUUUACUCUGUAAGGAAACUCCUGCACGGUGCAGAUUGCUGGGGCCAUUCAGAUCCACAUGUUGCUUCUGUGCCUAACACAGCCAUGACUCACUCAGAGGGUGGUGACACACUGAACAGGUUGCCCGAGGAAGUUGUGGAUGCCCCAUCCCUGAAGGCAUUCGAGGCCAGGCUGGAUGUGGCUCUGGGCAGCCUGGUCUGGUGGUUGGUGACCCUGCACAUAGCAGGGGGUUGAAACCGGAUGAUCAUUGUGGUCCUUUUCAACCUUCAACUUUUGCAACCUCUAUGCAAGGGAGAGAGGUGGUAAUAGCAUGUAUGAUCACCUCCAAUAGAUGCCAGCAGUUAUUUCUAUCCAUAGAGAAACAAGGAGCCAGAAUUUGCAAAAUAGGUGCUUUGUACUGAUUGUCCCUCUCUUGACCUUCCAUAGCGUGGUACUCACAGCAACGUCUCCAUUAGCAAUAUUCACCCUCAGCUCCCAUUAUAGUCAAUGGCACUUGCAUGACAUGAUCAAUCUCACCAAAAUUAGCCAAACCAAACCACCCCCUGGGAGUGCUGAUUUCUUACUGAUGUCUGCCAGGUGAGCCAGAAUCGACCAGCUCAGGUGGAAGCCAUUGCAGCUUGCAUGUCUCAGGCUGUGGGGAUGAUCCCUACUCCCUACAAGGGUAGACUUCAAAUCCCUGGAAAUAAUAUAAGUACAUGAAACCAAUGGGGGCUGGAACUCACUAUAACAACUUCUCUGAUCUGGAGAGGAAACCAUUGAUUUCCCAGUUUCCUGGUAUGGAGACAUCUCUUCUUCAGUGUUGUCCUGUCAGAGGUCAUCUAAGAUUGGGGAUUUAUAGGGAAAAUUGCAACAUGGUUGACCUUGACUCUACAAUGGAGGAAACAAUAUCGAAUCUCUGUCCUUCUCCUCAUUUUUUAGCCCUAUUCUGAUGUUUUUCUUGAGACAGCAUGCUGUUGAGGGACCUCAUCAUUUUUAAUUUUUCUUUUCCCCUUCAUCAAGCCAACCAUUCUAUUAUAAAAUGGUGGUUCCAUUUCUUAAUCUUCCUAUUUUCUUCUCAGUGUGUGUUUGCUAAUCAAUUUCACAAGCUGCUGCGUGAAGAGUGGGAAGAAGGGCUGCUCUCCUCCUUCUUUUGGACCUUUUCCCAGAAACUAGACCAAGCCAGUUUUCUCUCUGGUAGCCUGUAGCUCAUGUUAGAUCCCCAUGUACAUGGACAGAAGGGGCUACUGAGGUUGGGGCCUUGUAGCUGAGAAGCCACCACCUCUAGUCUCUCCUUUCGUCAUCAUAUAGGAACAGGUUGCCCAGGGAAGCGGUGGAGUUACCUUCCCUGGAGGUUUUCAAGAGGAGAGUAGAUGUUGCAUUGAGUGUCGUGGUUAGUGGGCAUGGUGGGGAUGGGCUGAUGAUUGGCUUAGGCGAUCUUAGUGGUCUUUCCAACCAUAAUGAUUCUAUUAUCCUUAGGAUGGAUGAGGAGACUUCAUCCAGCAAUUUCCAGCGCACCAUGAUGAAUGGCUGGAGGGUAGCAGGUGACGUCUCAGAGAACAUCUCAAAGGAAAGGACAAAGAUUGAAGCAACUGAACUGCUGUAAGGGCAUAGCUUUUGUCUCCAACUCCACAUGAGUUGCGAGAAGCUCAUAAAUAGAUGAGCAACUCGUAUGCAUUGAGCAACUCAUGUGUAUGUCACUGAAGCUGGAAAUGUUCAAGGAACAUUUAGAUGUUGUGUUGAGGGAUGUGGUUUAGUGAGAACUCUUGGUGAUGGGUGGAUGGUUGGACUGGAUGGUCUUGUAGGUCUUUUCCCACCUUGGCAAUUCUAUGAUUCUAUGAUUGCUACAGCUCAGCGCAGUCUGGAAGUGCUGGAACUCCUUUUCAGCUGCUGGAGCUGAGAUCUCUAAAGGUGCUCAGGUGCCUAAAGAUGCUGACAUGCUUACUAGGCUUUGCAGAAGUGCUCAUUUUUUAAAGUCCUUAUAGUUAUCUCUCUUCAGACUCCAAAGUGGCUCCAGAAAGCUGCUCUGGAAAGUCUACAGAUACAUGAACAAUGUUUUAAUCCUCUGACCAGAGAAAAAUCUCUGUCCUUCCAGCCACCUGGUGCACAGCAGUUCAUAUGCACACCGCUGAGGCACACCACCCUGGAAUGAUUCCUUUCCUCUAAGCCCGUCUAGCCAGCAUGUCAUUAUUAUUUUUGAGUGAUCAUGUGUUUUGAGAUCAAAGGACUUAAAAUAAAGCAAUAGCUGUGUUGCAGCCAGCCUCACUGCGUGGUUCUGAAAGUGUAUACGUGUUGUCUGCCUUGUUGGGAAAGCACAGGAAUAAAGAGAGUUCAGAGGAUACAAAUCAGGUUGCUCAGAGAAGCUGUGGAUGCCCCAUCCCUGGAGGUGCCCAAGGCCAUGAUGAGUGUGGCCCUGGGCAACCUGAGCUGGUGGGCAGCAACCAGCCCACAGGAGGGAGGUUGAAACCCUAUGAUCUUUAAGAUCCUUUCAUGGGCUAAAACAUGCCCAGAACACUAAUCCAGAGUUUCCUCACUCCUAAAAGGAGUUGAGGAUGGACCAUAUAUUGUACGAUCAAGGGACCAAACAGCAGAGAAUUCACUCACUGGGCAGUACAGAAGUAACAUACAACUCAGAUCCACAGAAAGACCCACAGGGAGCUGAACACGUCAGAGCAGCUUCUCCCUCAGCACUGCAGGUAGGAUUUCCUGAAAGACUCACCGACUUUCUGCACCUGCUCCCCUUGGCAUCAAUAAGAGGAGGAGGGGAAAGAAGGGAACUGCUAUUGAUUGUGAAAAUGCAAUUCAGCGGAUGCUUCAAGAAAUCAGAAUCUUAGAAUCAGAGAAUAUUCUGAGUUGGAAGAGACCCACAAUGACCAUCAAGUCCAACCCCUGACUCCACACAGCAGCACCUAAACCCUAUGUCUGAGAGUGAUGUCCCUGUGCCCAUUGCCUUGGGCAGCCUGCUCCUCUGGUGGGGGCCUAUCCCUCCAAUUAAUCCUCCUUCCUCCAUUCUCUGCUUCAAGGAAGUGUCCAGCCAAACCUUCGUGAUUCACGCUAUAAAGAGAUCAAAUCAUGUCAGUACUUCUAUGUUUUGCUGCUGAAAAGGAAGAUUAUCUUUCCUGCCUCUGACAAAAGACCACUAAAAGCAAUUUGCAGACAAUACCCUAGUUAAGAACAAUAAGCCAAGCGUAUGUCAUUAGUAACCAGACAAGUUCAAAGGCAUUUGUACUCCUGCCUGGGUACUCCAGUCACUCUGCUCUGUACUGUGAAAAGCACUACAUGUACUUCCUGAGAGCUCUUCUCCAUCAAACUACCAAUAGAAUGAACCUUUUGUGCAUUUUUGUAUAACAAGAAAUGGGCUUGCAAUUUUUCUUCACGGGUUUAAGUAUUGGGGAGUUUUCUUCCCUGGGAUAAAGUGGUGACAUGCUUGGCCACCCAAUACUCACCAAACAAUGGGGAUAAAUAAAAUAUAUUCAAGAAAGGGGUAUUUAUUAUUAUUAUUAUUACUAUUAUAGCUAUCCAACCAAUCUAAGGAAAAAUAUUUCACAGUAAGGGUGGUGAGGCACUGGUACAGGUUGCCCAGAGAGGUGGUGGGUGCCCCAUUCUUGGAGACAUCCAAGGUCAGGCUGGAGGGGCUCUGAGCACUGAUGGAGCUGUGGGUGUCCCUGUUCAUUGCAGGCAGUGGGGCCAGAUGGUCUUUAAGGGUCCCUUCCAACUCAAACCAAUCUGUGAUAUGCCAUGAAUCCAACCACUGAGUGAAAACAGUACUUUGUGAGAGAAGUGCCAAACAAUGCCAAACAGAUACUGGAGGAUGGUAGCCCUCCUGCUUGCAGCAGUGCUCUGAUGGCUCAGCAGAUGCCAAGCAGCUGGUGCUGCCUACUGGCCUGUGCAAGGGUUCAUGCAUAUCAGUUGUCCCCAUUCAUAUAUGUUUAUGACAGAUGCCCAUCCACUGGACCCUACCAGUCCAAGACAGUGACACUCAAUAACUGCAUCUCUGUCUCUAGGUUUCCAAACAGACAAAAAGCUUUACACAGGCAAGUGGAACGAAACCUUAGGCUUCUCAGAAGCACACUUAUGGACUGUGAAGAAAAUUUUGGCGAUGAGUUUUUCACCCGUGGGACAACAUCCUAUGCAUCAUAGCAAGAAUACAUCGGGGAAAGUGCACACCUGGAAGAGCUCACAGUCUGAAGGGAUUGGAUAGAAACCUCACAUCUGAUGUUGUGCCUGGUUUUUAAAGCAGUUUUGAACACUGGGUAUCAAAAUAUGUUCCCUGCUCUGAAGUUUAAGCAACCUGCUCCUCACGCUUCAAUAGCAAGCUGCACUCAAGAGGACAUUUGCUGCCCACUCCUAUGGAUGACAAAACACAAUUUAUGGGAUGUGUUGUACAGAAAGGAGGCAGCCUUUGCCUCAAGGUGUAGGUAGCAGAUUGACCAAAGCUAGAGGUCAAUAGGCCAAUAUUUGACCAGGCAUGGCUCCUCCUUGCAUCCCGUUUGGGAGCCUUUCUGCAAGCAGAGAGCAGAGAUUGAGAAAUCAGCAAGAUUGGUCACCCUUCCCUUCAUUGCUUAAAUUAUUUACUUUACCGUUUUCUCUUCUCCUGGCAGCUGAUUUGUCAAAGCAAGUGAAGCAGCUAGAAAGAGAGUUGUGGCUGCAGCAGGAAUAUUACAGCAAUUAGAAAGGGCCAUAAACAGUUCUCUACAUAUGAAACUGCUCAUUGAAUUUGACAAGCAGCCUUUUCUUCUUCUCCCCGCCACCAAAUACAAUGCAGCCUCUUUCCCUUUCAUAAAUGCCAGCACUUUUUCUUUCGGUUCCCACCAAGGGUCCCUCACACUCAACACUCAGAUCAAUACAUUUGCGGACUGAAAGGGACCUUUCUCCUCAACACUCAGCCUCUCGCGGACAGAAUUAAGGCUGAUUGAGUAUGUCACAGUCCGACUGCAAUUUAGAGAGGCAUCGUGCAACCGUGCUGUCCUGGCACCGGUCCAGCUGUCAGAUUUAAUAGAAAAGUAGAGCAGCUUCAUCUGCCCCAAACGGCACGCUGCUCUCUGCAGCCACUGAUUUAGGCUUCCUACACGUUACGGUCUGUCACUUGGAAGUGAUGGAUGAGGUACCAGUGGAUGUCUCUUGCUCACUCCCGGUAGCGAUAAGCAAGUAGCAGGUACGUCAGGAGAAGAGCUGAAGGGAUUAUCUUGGGCUUAUUUUGUGUUUGCCAAUACUGAAGGCGGAGAACAUGCUGCCAGAGCAGGAUGUUAUAAAUUAUAUUGUGCUAUAGCAGGUAGGGCUGAAACAUGGUGGCAAUGGGUUGAUGGUUGGACUUGGUGAUCUUAGUGGUCUUUUCCAACCUUAAUGAUUGUGUGAACCUGUUGAGGCUUCUCCAACCUCCAUAAUCAUGGGGGGAGACCUCUACAGAGCUCCCUUCCACUUACAUAGUGUCUAAGGGUUGAACUCUUGCCAUAUGUUAGAAAUUAGGACCAAAGGAGGUCUUGUUGACCUCCUGUCCUGCCAUGAGAUAGAAUUGCCUGUGCUACUUUGCACAACACUGGGUCAUUCAGGUUAAUAUUUCCCCUGGAGAGAAGCAGCAUGAGUCAGAGUACCCACUUGGAAAGGAGAGAUUGGGGUGAUUUGGAGUGGAAUGAUGGAGGGCCUUAUGACAAACUGCUCUGUAAUUACGUUGGCAAAGAUCUUCUGCCAACAAGGAGCAGAGCAGCACCUAGGUGGAUACAGGUGGCUUUGCAUUUCCUGGGUACCUCAAUUUGCUUUGUUUCUGCUCCAGAAGGAUGCUGAUUAACUGUGGGUGGUUCAGGGAAGAGCCGCCUGAACAGCUGAAGGUUUGGGGAUGGGGAUGACAGGAGCAGGGGGAGGCAGAUGAUGCCUGGUGUUACUGAGAAAAGGUUAAGGGGUAAUUUAUCAUUGUCUGUAAGUACCUGCUUGGGAGCAGUAAUUUGAGAUGAGAGCUCUUGAGUCUGUAUCACAAAAGGAUAACUGGAACUGUUGGCUGUGUGUUGGUGUGAGGUGCAUUUUCUGAGACACAGGCACAGCAAAAGGAGUGGGUGGGGGAAAGGCAUCACAGCUGUCAACAGGUGCUCCAGCCCUCCACCUCCAAUGGUUGCAGUCCCCUCUUUCCUUAACUCGGGAAUCCUGCACCUAUUUGCAAAUGACAAGGCUGAUGCAAGCAGAGUAGAAUAGGGUAUUUACCUCCUUCUGCCUAAAAAUCCCAACGUUGCCUUUGCCUUGCAAGAUGGAACAGAACCACUUACAAUCCCAGAUUUUCUACAGCCUGUUAAUCCCAAGAGAUGCAGACAUGUCAGACUUCUUGGCUUCAGGGAUUUCAACCCAAAGGAUAAUUAUGAAAAAACUCCCAAAUUGAUAUGCUUGAUCUUAAGAUUGUUACCACAGCCCCAAUAAUUUUGUUGGAAGUCCCAACCCCACUGAUUAAAUCACGUUCUUAAGCUGCAAUUCUCCACCUAUCUACAGUCAUUCUGUAUUUUGACACAGCAACCCCAGUGAUUUCCUACAACCAUAUCUCCCAUAACAUGCCUGGUUAUUAAUUCUCAGGAUGCAUCACACAGCUUCAGCAGUGAAAAGAUGCCCUCUGCAUUAUGGAAGAUAAAGUUCUUCAGGAAACUCAGCUCAGAAUGCAGCUUGGAGCUGGGAGGUCCCAGUUUGCAGUGUCCACAUGAGAAAAGACUGCCACUUAAUUCUGAAAUCACAAUGUAUUCAAAGUCAUUACGUGCUAUCAAAAAUAUAAGGGAUUACCAGAUGCAAAAUGAGGCAUUUAAUUCUCAUGUCAUCUAAAUCAGAAAUUUUCCCCCAUCACAUUUAAAUGGUGUGAUGAAGCCCUUAUGGGAAACCUGUUUGGCUGAAAAGUCCAUGGCCAGUUUCACAGAUCAACUACUCAGUACAAACCAUGGUGACUUUUCCUCAGCUGGAUGCCAUUAAACAGAGAUCAGUUCCAUUUGCUUUGUUGAAAGAAAGAAAAAAAAAAUAGAGAAAAAUAAAAGCUCUUUUUAGCUCCAACUCUGUGUCUAGCUUUGAGGAGCCUUGUCUUCAGAUAGUUGGAUAGACCAUGGCUGUCUAUGACAAGGACAGGACAGGAGCUUGCACCAGGAGGAGGCUGUGCUGCCACAGCAUUCAGCUCUGCAAGCCCAAACGUUGUGGCUGCCAACGUUCAGGUGAACAAUGCAAUUUACAUCCAAACACUGCUCCUGGGCAGCAGAAUGCAACCAGUCAACCAGAGCAAGGGCUGAUUAUGGGAAACAUCUGGGGUGAAAUGGGAAUUCCCCAUUCUCUAGUCAUUCCCUGGACUAUUUUAGGACAGCUUCUUCAUAAAAUGGAAGUGCAGUCUUCUCCAGAGCCCCACCUGUAUAACCAAGGGCAGGUUGGGCCAGAGGAAUGAAAUAAAUGAGCUUUUUAAUGGGCUUUAAUCACAAAUUGUCCUUCAGGGCUUGAUAGAGGUUUCUGCCACAUCAAAGAGAAAUCUCCUGUCCAUUUCAAGGGGAGAAGAAGCAAACUUGUGAACAGCACAUCAGAAUUAAACCUUGUAAAAGAUCACUGCACAUAGUAAAUGCACUGGUAGUGCUCAGGAGAAGGGAGAGAGCAACUGCUUGGCUGGUGAUUUAUCACACCUUUUGGACCCCCAAACUCUUUUGCAUUUUGACUUCAGAUGGGCUAUAGAAAAACAUGUCUAUAAUGUCUGUGUCCAACUAUCCACUCUUAAUGACCCAGUGGAACACCCAAAACAGGCAGAGCUUUGCCUGUUUCAACAUGAGAGUCCAUCUUCCAAAACAAGAGCUGCAGAGACUAUGUCUGGAUCAGGAGAUAGGGGCUCAUCUUUCCUUCUGCAGUCAUUUGGUGACUACAGCACAUGCCUGAGCGCUAGGAAAUGGUCAGUGAGCAAUGCCUAUCUCUUUUGCCUGUAAUAAUGUAAGCCUGCUUGUCCCUCAUAAGUACUUUGAGGACAUGAUAAUGGGAUAUUCAAACACAGGGAGCUCACUGUUGCUGCCAAUGGGACUUCCCCACUUUAUCAUGGAAGAUGGGAAAGAGUGACUACAGAUUGCACUUUCCUCCUUGCCGUCAUAUCAGGCUUCUGCUCUGCUUCCCCAGCUGGUUAAUACACUGCUUCUUAACUACAUCUCUUCAGAAAUGUCAGUCCAGAUGAUGUCAGAGCUGAAAGAUGACCUCUCAAGCCCUGGCCUGGGAGAGUAUUGGCUCCCUUCCUUAAAUCCACAUUGUACAGGGACUCUACGAGGAAGUCUGAACAGAUCUGUGGCCUUUAGCAGGGCAUGAGAAAGGGAGACUGCUCAGAUGGGAGAAGGACUUAUGGGCAGACAAUGAGGAUUUUUCAUGAUGUGACAUUUUAUUUGCUCUGAUAUGUUGACAUGAGUCCUGUGAGUCAUCAGGAGAGCUGACUUCUGGAUUCUCAGUUCUUAGCUCCUCUUUUGUCUACAGGGCUUGCUUCUUUCCGGGCCUUAGCACUAAUGAAAUUAAAAUCUUUUGCUUCUGAAAGAAUUAUGGGUCUGGCUCAUGCCAAAAUAUUAAUUCUGUGGGAGAAAGGGGCAAUGUAAGCAUCUGAUGGGUGUGUGAGAUGGAUGAGAAAAAACAGAGGAAAAUUUUGUCUUAGUGUCAGGCUCUGCAAUUUUUAUUUUUUGGAGUUAGCUUCAUUUAAGACUAACUGAGCAUCAUAGGCAGUCAAUGGCUUAACAGAUAUCUGUGCCAAAGAACACAUUAUCUGCAAGUGAAAUAUCGUAACGGGUCUAUGUGAUGGAAAGCACUAGAAGGACAAGUUAUAAAUAC